UACGGAGGGUGCAAGCGUUAUCCGGAAUCACUGGGUUUAAAGGGUGCGUAGGCGGUGGUGUAAGUCAGUUGUGAAAUUCCCUCGCUUAACGAGUGGGACUGCAAUUGAUACUGCGUCACUUGAAUCAGGUUGAGGUAGGCGGAAUGUGGCAUGUAGCGGUGAAAUGCUUAGAUAUGCCAUAGAACACCGAUUGCGAAGGCAGCUUACUGGCCCUGUAUUGACGCUGAGGCACGAAAGCGUGGGGAGCAAACAGGAUUAGAUACCCUGGUAGUCCACGCCUUAAACGAUGUUUACUUGCUGUUCCUGAUUUAUUUGGGAGUGGCGGAGCGAAAGCGUUAAGUAAACCACCUGGGGAGUACGCCGGCAACGGUGAA
This 374-nucleotide ribosomal RNA is filed under the name uncultured bacterium. RNAcentral's name for it is "bacterial SSU rRNA". It matches the Rfam family "Bacterial small subunit ribosomal RNA", at positions 524 to 898 of the family's 1533-position model. The record is from RNAcentral.